Molecule: ribosomal RNA, 253 nt
Filed under: uncultured bacterium
Lineage: Bacteria
Description: partial 16S ribosomal RNA
Rfam family: Bacterial small subunit ribosomal RNA
Source: RNAcentral
CACGUAGGAUCCGAGCGUUAUCCGAAUUUACUGGGCGUAAAGCGCGUGCAGGCGGUUCGGUAAGUUGGAUGUGAAAUCUCCUGGCUCAACUGGGAGAGGACGUUCAAUACUGUCGGACUAGAGGAUGGUAGAGGGAGGUGGAAUUCCCGGUGUAGUGGUGAAAUGCGUAGAUAUCGGGAGGAACACCAGUGGCGAAGGCGGCCUCCUGGGCCAUUCCUGACGCUCAGACGCGAAGGCUAGGGUAGCGAACGGG